AGCGAACGCUGGCGGCAGGCUUAACACAUGCAAGUCGAGCGGGCAUAGCAAUAUGUCAGCGGCAGACGGGUGAGUAACGCGUGGGAACGUACCUUUUGGUUCGGAACAACUGAGGGAAACUUCAGCUAAUACCGGAUAAGCCCUUACGGGGAAAGAUUUAUCGCCGAAAGAUCGGCCCGCGUCUGAUUAGCUAGGUGGUGAGGUAAUGGCUCACCAAGGCGACGAUCAGUAGCUGGUCUGAGAGGAUGAUCAGCCACAUUGGGACUGAGACACGGCCCAAACUCCUACGGGAGGCAGCAGUGGGGAAUAUUGGACAAUGGGCGCAAGCCUGAUCCAGCCAUGCCGCGUGAGUGAUGAAGGCCCUAGGGUUGUAAAGCUCUUUUGUGCGGGAAGAUAAUGACGGUACCGCAAGAAUAAGCCCCGGCUAACUUCGUG
This 435-nucleotide ribosomal RNA is filed under the name uncultured bacterium. RNAcentral's name for it is "partial 16S ribosomal RNA". It matches the Rfam family "Bacterial small subunit ribosomal RNA", at positions 29 to 507 of the family's 1533-position model. The record is from RNAcentral.